RNAcentral lists this long non-coding RNA (534 nucleotides) under Solanum tuberosum (potato). Its description in RNAcentral is "long non-coding RNA (STUB_LNC004210)". The record is from RNAcentral. Lineage: Eukaryota; Viridiplantae; Streptophyta; Magnoliopsida; Solanales; Solanaceae.
CUGACUGCUUAACUAACUAUUCUAUUCUUCAACACUUUCACAUAACUUUGAAGGCAAUUUGACCCUUCUCUCUAUUUUUGAAUUUUAAACUUUUCUUAUUCCUUUUUUUUUUUCGUGUCACUACCUCUGUCGCCAAUCACUCUCCACCUUAACAACAACUUCGGCUAAAACCAUAUCUGCUACUCUGAUAUUAGCUAUUCGAGUCAAAUCAUACAAUUGAAAGCCAAUUGCUACUUUCUUGCCUUGGAACAUGCACACUCCUUCAUGUGAAAUAUUCAUCUUCAUAGAGCCGCCAAUCACUCUUUCUUCCUUGGACUCCUAUACCGUUAUAUAUUUGCAUUGAAAUAGUGUUUUACAUUGCAUGUGCAAGUCAUUUAGCACAUUUUCCUCCUUGUGGUGAGGGUAAGGGGUGGGGGUGGAGGGGAUAGAGAGAAAGAAAACGGGAAGUGAUGGUGACAAUGGUGGUAGGGAGAGGAGGAAGAAAGGGUGAUUGGUGAUAGAGGUAGUGACGGGGAAAGAGAGGAGGAACCAAAA